RNAcentral lists this long non-coding RNA (1710 nucleotides) under Lactuca sativa (garden lettuce). RNAcentral describes it as "long non-coding RNA (LSAT_LNC010196)". Lineage: Eukaryota; Viridiplantae; Streptophyta; Magnoliopsida; Asterales; Asteraceae. The record is from RNAcentral.
UAAGACAAAGACCAACUAGGACCAAUUUAUGAAGUGUUUUGAUAAAAACUACACUAACUCUUGAAUAUUUGUUUGUCAAGAAAUGUUUAUUGACAAGAGAAUCUUAUAUGUCAAGAAGUCAGUGGGAGUCUUAAUGGUCUUGAAAGGUUUUAAGAACAAAUCAAAAUAAACCUUAUCGAUUAUCACUAGCACACAAGCUGAGGUUUACAACCUAUAGUGUUANUCAAUUUGCUUUUAUUUCCAAGAGAAUGGGCAUUGGAGACGAAGCUGGCCUCUUUACCAAAGAGAUCUAAGAGAUGCGAGAGUCAAAACGAAUGGCUCUACUUUAGGUAAAAUCCAUUGACUAACUCUUUUAAGCUCCUAUUCUAGAUUCUUAAUACAUAAUGUGAUAAGAUUACAAUUGAUGUUUUGUAGGAUCAAAGAAAGGAGAGGAAGCUUAAGGGAAGAAGUGAGCAGAAUCUAACCGUGAAGGAAUGGAUUUCGAUCGCAUUUCUCGAAGAUUAGAUUCUUGAGCUACUACUUAGAGUUAGAAUUAGAUUGCUAAGAAAGAUGUAUUAGCAUAGUUUUUCAAUGAAUUGCAUUGUAAGGACAAAUUUUUCCGCAAUAAAAUAAAUUUUGAUUUUAAAUUUUAUUUAUUUAUCCUUACAAUGGCGUGUAUGAAAAAUUGAUGUUAAAAUGUUUCUAUUAUUAGCAAUAAUGGAUUUGGUUCUUAUUAUGUUAUUUAUGGAAAGUCGAGAAUUUACCAAAUAGGGAGAGUUUCUCAUCGCCCAAGUUUCAAUUGGACAGAAACUUGGAAUCAUGCAACUUGGUUGCACGAUGAAUGAGAAAUUUCAUAUUUGGAAAUUAGACUAAUUCAUUGACAAAGUGUCAAGUGAAGGACUAGGAGAUCGAGUACACAAAGUUGCGUGUUGAUCAAGUCCACCAUAAGAGUAACAAAGAUAUUCGUCAUGAUUUACUAAAGGUUUAGUAAAUAUGAUUAUACUUAUAAGAUUAAGUGUAAUUCUGAAUUGAUUGAAAAGGUUUAAAUCAAUAGCAGAACGAAUAAGAAGAAUCAAGUAGGCAGAAAGAUAAAAGUUUCUCCAUUCUAAGAAGAAGGGAGAGUACCUUUUAUGCUUUAUGAUAGGUCUUAAUGAUUAAGAACCAUAUCUCAAUUGAUCCUCUAAGUGAGUCUUAGUACAAUUGUAUGUCUAAGAAGAGGAAUCAAGAAUUGAAGAAAUGGUUAAAUCAAGAAGUCAAUCAUACUUCGUUCCAAAACAAGUCUUAGAGUUAAGAUUGUGACAUUGAGUGACAAGUAUUAAGAAGGUUUAUAACAUUCAUCAAAUGUGGAAAGUUGUGAUGUCUUGGAUAAGACAAAGACCAACUAGGACCAAUUUAUGAAGUGUUUUGAUAAAAACUACACUAACUCUUGAAUAUUUGUUUGUCAAGAAAUGUUUAUUGACAAGAGAAUCUUAUAUGUCAAGGAGUCAGUGGGAGUCUUAAUGGUCUUGAAAGGUUUCAAGAACAAAUCAAAAUAAACCUUAUCGAUCAUCACUAGCACACGAGUUGAGGUUUACAACCUAUCGUGUUGACACUAUUUUGUUUCUGUGCCAUUCCAAUUGAGUUAAUUAUGCAUGUGAGUCCUAUGAGUUCUCAUUUGAAUGCAUAAAAGGCAAGGACCUUGAUCAAUGAAAAGUACAUUGAUAGGAAAAGGUGAGCUGCUUAACUACUUGG